GGAUUAGGAUUUAGGAUUGGAUUAGGAUUUGGGUUAGGGUUUAGAGUUUGGUUAGGAUUUGAUUUAGGAUUUGGAUUAGGGUUUGGAUUAGGAUUUAAGAUUUGAUUAGGGUUUGAUUUAGGAUUUGGAUUAGAGUUUGGAUUAGGAUUUAGGAUUUUAUUAGGAUUUGAUUUAUGGUUUGAUUUAGGAUUUGAUUUAGGGUUUGAUUUAGGAUUUAAUUUAAAGUUUGUUUAGGAUUUGACUUAGGAUUUAGGAUUUAUUAGGGUUUAAGAUUUAAUUAGGUUUGGUCUAAAGUUUGAGUGAAAUUCAAUAGGAUUUUAACUAGAAUUAAAUUAAGGUUGAAUUGACAUAUAUUUGAGUAAUAUUUAUAUUUAUUCUAAUAUUUUUUUAAGAAUUUUAUUAUUUGUUUAAAAUUUCUUUGAGUUGUUUUGAAUUUGAUUACAUUUGUUUAUCAUUAUUAUAGUCUAAUUAGAGCAUUGUUAGUAUUCUAUUAGAAUUAGGAUUUUGUUAUGACAAUUUCUAUUCUUCCUUCUACAGUGAGGUGCCCGGAGCAUUCUCAAGCAAGACUUCAUACAUUAUGACAACGUUAAUAAAGACAAAGGGAAGAGUAAGUAUAUUACUUAUAAGCUUCAAUUUGAAGAAACCACAAAUUUGAAAGGAGUCUUAGAAGAAAGAGUAUUGAAUGCCAAACUUGAAUUUACUUUACGAGAAAUUUUAGGCAUUGCAAAGUGAGAGUUGCAUGAAGUCAUCAUGGAUACUAUUAAACAAAAGAGGCAAUUGACAGGAGAAUCUGCUCUAUCUAAUGCUUUGGAUACAAUCUUGACUAAAAAAAAAAAAACAUGAAUUGGCAGAAUGUUGUAUCAAUAAAAAGGGAAAAUUUGAUUUGGAUAAAUACAUGGAUGAUGGCAAGGGCCUUGGACACUAUACCAGGGAAUAUUGGGCAAGAAGCACCACAAAGACUUUAGUAAAAAUGGAAGACUUGGAAGACCCAGUAAUUGCUCUCAUUGACCAUGGAUCUGAAAUUAAUAUUAUGUCAAAAGAAGUCUAUAAACAUAGGAGAUGGCUCAUUGAUAUUAACUAUGGAUGGGUGAUUCAGGAAGCAAUUAAUACACGAAGAGAUCUUUAUGGUGCUUGCCCCAAUGUGAAGGUAAAGAUUGGAGAUUUGACUACAGAACAAAAUUUUUUGUUCAAGACACUACUUCAUACCUUGUGAUUCUUGGUCAACCAUAUAUUAUUGUUGUGAGGAUGGAUACCAAGGUUUUGGAUGAUGGAUCAGUAUGUGCCCGUAUAAAGUGCUGGAGAAAGAUAUAAUCCUUAUAUUUAAGCUUAUAGUUGUACCAGAGCUUCGUGAGCAUAUUAAAGGCAUUAUUAAAAGUUAUGGAGAAAAAUGGGAGGAUUUUAUCCUUCAUCUAAAAAAAUAGUAUUCUUUGGAAGAUACAGAAAGGGUGACAAGAAAAUCAUUUAUGGAAUGGGUCGAUAAAUCCAACAAGGGGUUGGUUACAAUAGAAUUAUUCUGAAAAUUUGAAAGACAGUUUCUUCAAUUGUCUUGAGUGAAAAAGCUUACACUUGAAAAUGAUAAGUUGGAGUUAUUUCUUCAAUCAGCUGGCCAUGAUUUACAAAGGGAGUUGGAAUUACUAUUGGACGAUAAUACAGAGGACAAUAGACUUACUACUGAUUGAAAAAAAGUCUCUGAAGUUGUGGGCAUACUUGCCAAAAGAAAGUACCGGAGGGAUAAGGUGAUAGUAAGGCAAGAGACUAGACCUCCACCAACUACAACAUCUCAUAGGCAACUGUCAGAACCUACUAUACUAGUAAAUACUAUUCCAAUUCCUAUGUCUGCAGUUGCAUCACAGAAAGAUGUAAUUGAUGAGUUGGUAAAAGGAAUGAAAGACUUACAAAUCAAACUUGCAAAGCUAGAGGAGAAAGAAAGAUUAUCUGAGAGUAAAUCUGUAUAAAAGCCAGGAUAUAUAUAACAAUGUAUUUGGUGCAAUAGUAUGGAACAUCCUCAAAGGGAGUUUGGAGAUUUUUGUGAUAUUUUGUGAUAGAGAGUAAUUUUAUGGAAAGAUGGAAAAAUUACGUUGCGAGGUACAAGUGAGUUUCUCAAAACCAAUUUUGGAAAGGGAGGGAUGAAAAAGGUUUUGGAAGAGUAUUUAUCUCAAUAGGCUAUGGCAUCAAAAGAAGCUAUUACUUAUAGCAUUGAGGCUAUAAGGAAGAAGGAAGAUGUUUUUGACAAGCAUGUAAACACAAGGGAUCUAUGGAAUCAUGUUAUUAUCAGCAUGAAUAAAGGAAAAACAACAAGGUAGGAAUUACUUAAUACAACCACAAUAAUUAGAAAUGCCACAAAAUGGGAUGACCCUGUAGAAACUAUGUUUGUACAUGUUUAUUUGGUAAAGUUCCAACAUGAAGCUUUGAUGGAGGUAAAAAAGGGAAGAAAUGAAAUAGAAGAAAAUUUUGAAGAGCCAACCAACAAGAAGAGAUCUCAAAGGCAUGCAAUAACCACACAAAAUAAACAAAUACUUAUACCAUAGGCUAAUAGACCAUCGAGGGCUGGGCCAUCAACAUCGAAUCCUCGAAUAGCACCACUGCCAAAAGAAAAAUGAGAAGAAAGAAUGGAAGUUGAUAAAGACAAAGAGAAGAAUAAGCAUAUUACUUAUAAGCUUCAAUCAGAUAUUGAGGCAACCAUAGAUUUGAAAAGAAUAUUGGAAGAAAGAGUAUUAAAUGUCCAAGUUGAAUUUACUCUACGAGAAAUUUUAGGCAUUGCAAAGUGAGAGUUGCAUGAAGUCAUCAUGGACACUAUUAAGCAAAAGAGGCAGUUGAUAGGAGAAUCUGUUAUAUCUAAUGCUUUAGAUAUAAUCUUGACUGAAGAAGAAAAACAUGAAUUGUCAGAAUGUUGCAUCAAUAGAAAAGGACAAUUUGAUUUGGAUGAAUACAAAGAUGAUGGCAAAGGCCCUGCACACUAUACCAAGGGAUAUUGGGUGAGAGACACCAUAGAGACUUUAGUAAAAAUAGAAGACUUGGAAGACCCAGUACUUGCUCUCAUUGACCAUGGAUCUGAAAUUAAUAUUAUGUCAAAAGAAGUCUAUAAACAUGGAAGGUGGCCCAUUGAUAUUAACCAUGGAUGGGUGAUUCGGGCAGCAAUUAAUACACGAGGAGAUCUUUAUGGUGCUUGCCCCAAUGUGAAGGUAAAGGUUGGAGAUGUGACCAGAGAACAAAUUUUUUUUGUUCAAGACACUACUUCAUAUCCAAUGAUUCUUGAUCAUCCAUAUAUUAUUGUUGUGAGGAUGGACACCAAGGUUUUGGAUGACGGAUCAAUAUGUGCCCGUAUUAGAAGUUAAGAUGGAAAAAUGAUAGUGGAGUUUCUAAUAUUACUUAUAUACCAUGAACGCAAUCAAGAUUAUCUAUGCAAUGGUCCAUUACUAAGGAUUACUGGGAAUUUAAAGUUUUUUGCAGGGUACCACUAUAGAGCGGGAAUAUAGUUGUACAUCAAAGAAAGUAUUCUCGCAUGGAGAAAAUAAUAUCUUUCAUACAGGUGUUGUAAAAUUAUCUAGGAAUAGAUUUGUUGUACAUACACAACUUAAUGACUUACAAAAAUGGGAGCAAAGAUGUAUGCAAAAAUCUGAAAAAGACCUAAAAAGAGUGGAUGUACUUGAUAAAGAUGCUUUAAUAGCAAUUAUAUAUAUGGAGACAUGUUCGAAAGAUUUUUGGAAGAAAUAAGCUUAAAAUAUAAGGACAAAAUUGACAUGUAGCAUUGAUUAAGGGAACAAAGAAUUUGUGAAGGUAUUAGAGAAGACAUAUAUUUUUUUACAAAUGAAGAAGAGGAAGACAUGGAUCAAAAAAAGACAAUAUUGGGAAGGUAAUAUGAUGCCGAUCACAACUUUGGUUCUUUUUGGUGCAUACCGGAGGAUGCACGGAUUUAGACGGGGUGGAUGUCGUGUUGUGGUUUAGCUAUUAUAUGAAAAUAAUGUAAUUAUAUACUUAAUAUAUAAUUUAUUAAUUAAUAUGGUGAGAGCCUUGUUAGUAGAUUUUAAUUGGUUGUAGAAUAUAAUUUGAUUAUUACCUUGAAAAGAGGUUGUUUAGAAAGAUUACUAUAGAACUUGUAUUACUUUAAUUUCUUUUUUAUAGUGGAUUUUAAGAUUGGUUUUGAUUGAUAGUAACUUCUAAAUAUUUAGAGUCACCUUGUUAGCCAUUGGUAACCUUUGAAAACUUAUUUUGGUUCUUUUAUUUGAUAUUUAGAGCAUAAAUUAUAUAAAUCUUAUAAAAAAAAGGAUUGAAGAAGGAUUUUGGUAAUAAAGGGAGUAAUUAGGACACCAAUAUAGAUGAAUGGAGAUGAAUGAUGAAAAUCUCCAUUCCUAUUAGUCAAACAUCAUGACCGAUGGGCUUUGAGGAGACUGUACGAGGCCAUAUUAGGGAUUAGGAUUAGUUUCUCAGGGCCAUUUGAGGUUUGAAGGCUAGAGUCAGAAGAUUUAGGUUUUUGUCUAUGGUUUUGGUACAAGUUUUGUAUGGUUUGGUAUUUAUAUGAAGGAGAUACAAGCGCUCAAAGUUAAGGUAUUGAUUUGAGAGCUACUGUCACUCUUUUUGGCAUAAUAUAUGCAUACAAAUAGCUAUUGAGGAUCGGCAACUGUGACUAGAGAGAAUACUUUUCCAGCUACACUUUUUGUAUAUUGCUUAUUGGAUUCCAAGUUGAAAUGAAGGAGUUAUUGGAUUUUGAAGUUAAUGCUUGCAAUCUAAGGGCAGUAAGUAUUCCGAUUUACUAGUGGUUGUCUCUUGAGCUAUAUCUUGAGCAAUUUGACAAGGUUUUUGCUCAAAAUUUUAGGAAAUAUUUAAUUUCAUGUUAGUAAACUUUGUACAUAAGUUUUAUGACAUUUGAAUAUUGAGUUCUUGAGACAUUAAGAAAAUAGUGCUCGGGUACUUGUAAAUUAGGAUUUAGAGCAUUUGCUAGGAUUUCUUAAAUGUUAGAAGAUCGAGAGUGAAUUUCUAGUUGGUUUUUUUUUUUGUAAUAAAAUUUAAAGGUGAAUUCUACCUAUUUUUAAAUUUGAGACAAACUGAAUGGUUAGAUCAAUAGCUAAGAUUUUCUAAAAUUUGGAGCAGGAAAACCUUUCGUGGGAAAAAUAUGUUUUGAAGGGGUUUUGUUAUAUUUUGAGUUUUAUGCAAAAUAAAAGAGUUUUGGGAGGCUAAUACAAGAUUCAUAUAAAGAUUUAAGCUACACUCUCUAUAGCUAGAUAUCUAGUAUAUUCCUAGAUAGUAAAUCAUGCCAUACAACAACGAAUUAUGUAAAAAAUUAGACUGAAGCCGUAGCUACGAAAAUCGAUAGUGCAAGUAUAGUAGUAACCUUUUUGUAUGAAAGUAUUAUAACACGGUUUGAUUAUCCACAAGAAUUGGUUAGUGAUCGAAGAAUUCAUUUUAUAAAUAGUAUAAUCGAAGCACUUAUAACCAAAUAUGAGAUAAAAUAAUGCAAGACUACAUCGUAUCAUCCUAGAGCCAAUGGAUAAAUGGAAAAGACUAAUAGAAUUUUAUGUAAAAUCUUAACAAAAAUAGUUUCAAGAGCGGGAACAGAUUGGGACACUAAGUUGUUUGCAGCUUUAUGGGCAUACCGUACUGCAUAUAAAGUUACUAUCAAUGCUAUCUCUUUUCAAUUGGUUUAUGGCCAGGAAGCAAUAUUACCUAUUGAAUUGGAAGUCCAAAGUUUACGAAUUGCUUUAGAUAAUAGAUUGAGAGAUUGUCAGCUCUCAAUUAUACUCUAAAAUUUAAGUUUUUGUUAUUUUUCUAUUUUAUGAUAAUUAAACAUGUUAGAUUAGGAUUUAUAUAAGUAGAAUUUAGUUUUAUAGAAUUUUUAGGAUUACAACCUCUCAUGGUAUAAAUCAUAGCCUAAUUCCUUGAAUUACAUUAAUUAGGACUAAAGUGACAAGAGUUAGAAAAUUAGAAUAGCAACUUAGUUAGUUUAAUAAUUUAGAGGUUGUUAGUCAUUACUAUAAGGGUUGACUGAAAGUCAAUGAGUAUGGCUAUAAUCAUUCACAUGAUUUAGGGGUUGGAAUUAUAAUUCUCUAAAAGAUUUAGAGAAGUUAGCAAUGGUAAUUUUGGAUUUUUUCUCCAAAUUCGGUAAAUUUAAGCGGCAUGGUGGUUCUUCUACUUAAUGGGAGUCUCUUUAAUACAAUGGUGGCACUGGAUUUACCUCGUGGAGUGAAGAAAACAAGAUCAGCAACCUCUCCUUCAAAAUACAAGAGAAGCAAUGAAAUUCUCAUUUUGAAGAAUUUCACAAAAAAAUUGCCAAGAUCCUUGUAAGUAAAAACUUCCAUGGAAAUUAUAAUUGAGCAUGGAUUAGAGCAUGUGAGAAGUCUAUCUUAACUUAAAAAGGUGUUUUGAACACAAUAGUGAAGUUAGAUUUACAAAAAAAAAUGCCUUCUUGACCACUUACAAAGGCCAUCAGCCUUGAUAACUAGAUUGGCUCUUGGAUGAAUGAAGGCUGUAGAUCUAGAUUAGGGAUCUAAAAAAUCAAGGAUGGAAAUGUAGCCACCCUUCUACGAGCCUCCACUCAAUUGUAUAAGAGAGGCUUGGUUUUCCAAGCCCUGUCUCUCUCCUCUUUUAGUGAAGGACGAAGCCAUGCUAAAAUUUGGCCAAAAAUCCUAAUUUUAAUUUCAUUUAGAUUUUAAAUCUCAUUAUGAAUUUUGUGGGUGGAUGUGCAUGGAUUUCAAGUUGUGAAUGAUAGUCAUUGCGUCUUAAAACACGUUUCAUUGUAGUGAAUAGCUUCCUUGGCCUCCCAAUUACUCCAAGGGUUUCAAGAGCCUCAGAUUUCCCUCCAUCAGUCAUUCAAUUGUUUUAGUUCCAAUGUGAUUUUUUCUGUGGUUGUAGAUUUUGUUGUUAGCUUUCCAAAAAGGUAAGGUUCGCUCCAUUUGGAGUUGAACUGAAUUUUUGGUGAAAUUUUGAGUGUGAGGGGAUCGACUGCCUUCGCAGUUUGGAUUAAUCGAGUUUGGGAAGGCAUUUCUUAGUGCCUGAUAACUGGAUUCAUUUGAAAUUUUGGGAGCAUCAAGAUUUGUAAGCUAAGCUUUGAAGGGCACAAGUUUCGCUGGAUUUGAAGACAAUUGAACUUUUAGCGAAUUUAUAAGUGAAGGGGGUUGGUCGCAGCGGCAGUUUGGAUCACUCAACUUCAAAGGGGCAAUUCUCACGACUGGAUCACUAGAUUGCAAUGAGAUUUAUUGGGACAGGAGCGUCUUUAAGUUAACCUUGCAACUACUUAUGAAUCAUUCAAUUUGGAGCUAAUUAAAAAUUUUGGCGAAUUUUGGAGUAGAAGGGGGUCGCUGCCUUCAAUCCUUGACGUUGUUAAGGUACCUUCGCUUUUAUCCCUCUUAUUUUAUUUUUACUUUUAUCUUCACAGUAACUUGUAAUCUCCACAUUUCAACUUUUUACUAAUAAAUUUUAACUUUUAACUUUUAACCUUUAAUAUUCUCACUUAAAUUUUUAAACUUUGAACUUUAAUUUUUGAAUUUAAUAUUUAACUUUAAUUUUUAACUUUUAACUUUAACUUUUAACUUUAACUUUAAACUUAAAUUUUAACAUUAACUUUUAACUUUUAAUUUAAACUUAAGUUUUUAUUCUUAUUGUGAAUUAAUAAGAAAAACUUAAGUAAUUACUUUUAUUCUUUUUUUGUGUGGUGAAUUUCAUCUGAUAUUUUAAUUUAAUAUCGAUAACCAUUACUUAGAAGGCGUUAAUUUUAAUUGAAUUACAAACACCCAUAUUUUAAUUAACCUAAAAAUUUCACAAUUGGGAGUUCUUCCAUUCUACCUCUUGAGUUCAUUGUGUAGUACUAAAUUCAUAAAGUGGUGGAUUUUAGGCUCACAGAGAUCAUGAUUCAUUAUGCCACCAUUUAGAAGAAUUAGAAAAAUUUGAUGAAACUAGACCCAAUGCAUUAAUGAUAAUGGAAACUACAAAAAAAUAAAGAAAGACUUAUUAUGAUAGUAAGCUUAGACCAAAGGCUUUUAUGCCAAAUGAUUUGAUACUUUAUGAUAGUCAAUUUAAAAAAUUUCCAGGAAAAUUUCAAGUUUGAUGGAAUGGGCCAUAUCGAGUUAUUGACGGAUUUCUAAAUGGUUCACUGCAAUUGGAAGAUUUUAUGGGUACUAAAUUUAUUGCAUGGAUCAAUGGCAAUCAACUUAAACUAGACUAUACAUAAACCCAAGAUGGGUUUUCUGUUACAAAAAAGGGAGUCGAUUCAAUUCAUUGGACCAUAGUAAGAAGUAGGAGGGGGACUCUUGACAAGCAUCAUGUUUUUUUUUUGUGAUUAAGGAGAAGUGGAUGGUGGAAAAGGAAAAGAUGGCGAACAUGGUAUCUGAGAAAGCCAGAAUUGAGACCGAUUGGAAGGAUCGGCAAGAGCGGCUGGAGGUAGAGGUUGCAAUGUUGCAAACUAAACUAGCCACAUUAGCAAAGGAAGUCAAUAAUUUAGUGUGGACGAAUACCCCAGUUUCAGCGACAACACUUUCAGAGAUACCUUUGAAACCGAUAGAAGAAUGGCAGAAGAUGUUAAAAGAGUGCAACAACCAAAUUGCCCGUCUUGAGUCUCACGUACGGGAAUUGGGUUUGUUGAAUGAAGAUCUGACAAUGCAUUUGGAUAGAGAACCAUUGAACACCAAGGAAGACAACGAAGAUGUAGCAGAGGAGAAGGUCACCAAUUCAAAGGGUGGUAAGCCAACGCCAUUGAUUAAAGAAGCCAACGCUACUACGUCUUUAUAAGUUGAGAUUAAAUAAUAUUUAUGAGGGCACUGUACAAUUAGGAGUGAGGCUAUAUAGAAUAGAUAAAUAAAUUUUGUAGUAAGUUACUAGUUGGUUAUUGAUAACCUUAAGAAUUAGACUUAUGAUUAAGCAGUUUAGUUGGUAACAGUAGGUUGUUAGACGAACAAAUGGUUAAGAAUUCAAAGGGUCAUAACCUUUGAAAUCUGCUGGCCAACGGUCCAUUUUUUAAUAGGAUAAAGAGGUUGAGAAGUGGGAGAUCGAGACCAAACUAUGAGAAUCAUAAGUCAGAGGGCUAAACUCUAACAAUCGUAAGCCGAGGGAAGCUUCAUGCUACCUCUUUGUUUUCUUUGCUUUUAUUAUUUGCUUAUAAAGAAUUGUGAUUGAGAGAAGUAUUAUUGAAACUAUGAUUAGAAUAUUAUAGAGUAUGACUUUGGAGUGACCGUUUUGGAGAAAAUUUGUGACCUUGAGGAUUCAGAUUAUCAAAUUGUGUUGUGUUAAGUGAAGAUAUUGAAUUCUGUGUGAUGAAUUGAGAAACUCAAUAUAAUAGUAAGUUGGAGAUCAAUAAUUGAAUAUAUAUAAACCGUAAAGAGAGUAAGUGGAAGAUGAACUGAUAAGAAUAUGGAAGUAUUGUUGAAUUGAUAGUCGUAGAAUGGAUCAUGUGUUGAAUUAAGACAAAAGUAGUAAGCCUUGGUGUUUUGUAGUUUGAUAAUUGAUUUCAGAUAACUAAAGUACAGUAAAUUGUGACACUUACAGAUCCAAUUCAUAUAACCAAUCUUUUCCCGUGUUCGAACCCACUUCUAUUAGUUCAAUUACUUUGGUAUAUUGAAGCUUGAACACAACGAGAACAACACGCAGAAUAUCAGUAAAAUCUCUACACUCCCUUUGAGGAUGCUCCAUACUAUCUCACCAAAUACAUUGUUAUAUAUAUCCUGGCUUUUAUACAGAUUUACUCUCAGGUAAUCUUUCUUUCUCCUCUAGCUUUGCUAGUUUGAUUUGUAAGUCUUUCAUUCCUUUUACCAACUCAUCAAUUGCAUCUUUCUGUGAUGCAACUAUAGACAUAAGAAUUGGAAUAGUACUUACUGGUAUAGCAAGUUCUAGCAAUUGCCUAUGAGGUAUUGUAGUUGGUCGAGGUCUAGUUUCUUGGCUUACUACCACCUUACUCCUCCGGUACUCUCUUUUAGCAAGUAUGCCCACAGCUUUAGAGACUUUCUUCUAAUCAAUAGUAAGUCCAUUGUCCUCUAUAUUAUUCUCCAAUAGUAAUUCCAAGUCCCUUUGUAAAUCAUUGCAAGUUGAUUGAAGAAAUAACUCUACCUUAUCAUUUUGAAGUGUAAGCUUUUUCACUCAAGACAAUUGAAGAAAUGUCUUUCAAAUUCUUGGAAUAAUUUUGUUGCAACCAAUCUCUUGUUGGAUUUAUUGACCCAUUCCAUAAAUGAUUUUCUUGUCAUCCUUUCUAUAUCUUCCAAAGAAUACUCUUCUUUUAGAUGAAGGAUAAAAUCCUCCCAUUUCUCUCCAUGAGUUUUAAUAAUCUCCUUUAUAUACUCACGAAGCUCUAGUACAACUGCAAGCUCAAAUGAUAGGAUCAUAUCUUUUUUUGGCAAUUUAUUGAGCUCCAUCUCCCAAGAAUAAUACUUAAGAUACUUGAAAAUAUUUCUUCCAUCAAAUUGAUCCAAUAAGCCAACAACAGAUUAUAAGGCUUUAAUAGCCAUUGCCUCCUUGCGUUCCACUGCUUAUUGUUGCAUAAAAAGUAUAAAUGCUUGAAAUAUUUGAGUUGUAGUAGGAUCAAGUUGCAAUGGAGAUUCCCUAAUGCAAUUCUUCCUACCACUUCUUUGCCCUUCUUCCAUAAUAGAAAGCCAAAAUAUUUUUUCAAAACUCUCUACUCCAGAAAUUUUUAAGUCGGGUUCACCAGGUCUGUCAUAUGGCGUGAUUUGCUAUCUGAGAAUACAUUGGAUAUCUAGAUGUAGAGAGUGUAGCUUAAAUCUUUAUAUUAAUCUUGUCUUAGGUUCUAAAACUCCUUUAUUUUGCAUAAAACUCAAAAUAUAACAAAAUCCCUUCAAAACAUAUUUUUCUUGCAAAGGAUUUUCUUGUCCCAAACUUUAGAAAUUCAUAUCUCUUGAUCUAACUGUUUAGUCUAUCUCAAAUUUAUAAGAUAUUGUCAAGGACAAGAACUCGAUGAAAGCUAAAGAGUAAGUGAGACUUUUCUCAAAAAGAAAUAGGACAAAAUAGAAAUAUGUAUAUUAAGAAAGAAACUGGAAUGGCUAUUGCCAAAAUACAAGAAAACUAGAGACCCUUGAAACUAGACUAGAAGCAAGAAAGGAGUUGACAAGAGUGAAGAGGGCUUCACUCUUGCCUCUAUAUAUACUAUCUAACUAGAAGCCACGUGGCGAUGUUCUAUAAGACCUCCAAUAUAUGUUGACUUUCUAGGCCACAUGCCUUUGCUUGCAAGGCAAGUUUUCUAUGGAUGGACCAUGUAGUUAGCUUGUUCUUUAAGCUUCCAACAUGUGUGGCACAUGGCUAACUUGUUGACCAAGUUUCUAACCUAAAAAUCAACUAUAGACUCCUAUAAAGUCAAAGCAGCGUCUAUGAAGCUUCUAAGAAGCUUCUCUAGAAGAUAUUACACAAUUAACCUACUUUUACAUACUUUUAUCUAUUCAUAUAGGUAAUUAUAUGUAUGUCCGUGACAUUACCCCCCCUUCUAGGGACGAGUUCCACGAGGAGCGGUGAUUAUAUAUUGAGAAAAUCUAAUAUGCGGCGAAUUGUAUUUGCUACAUACUCUGAUCUUUGUUCUCUUCGAAGAUAGUUGAUGGGUCCUCUUAGCCAUCAAUAGUGUCCCAUUCCAGGGCGAGAAGACCACCCUGUUAUUUGAUCACUGUUGAGGCCUUCAUAACUUCCUUCAAAUAAUACAUUUGAAACACCAUCAGGAGUCGUUCCUAUCUCCAAUAAUAUCACCAAACAUCGAGAAUCUCUUCCAAGGUCGUGAUACCAAACGCGUUGUAUCUCACCAUCUAUUCGAGGAAGAACAUGUCGUUCUUGAGGGUCUUCAUCUCGGUUGCGUCGUCUUGAAGGUUGUGACAAUCGCAAUGUCUCAUCCGGUAAGUCAGCAAACAAAGGUUCUUGAGUUGAAUCCGCUGGUUGUUGGCUCUCCAUCUAAUUAGCGUCACAAAAUGCAAAGAAGUUACAAACAAAGAUAGGAAAUUGAAUGUUAUCUUGCCUCAAUCUUGUCUCUUUUAUAAGAGAGGUUUUCAUCUUGGUUUUGAUGGAUGUUGUUGAUGAAAAACUUUGACUUUAGCUGAUGCAUUUGCUAGAUUCCUGGAUGGCUCCCAUGUGCGCUCACUAAUAUCAUAUCCGCACCAAUGAACAAGAUAUUCCAGCUUAUUUCGGCGCCGCCUUGAGUCUAAUAUCUCUUCCACCUCAAAUUCUUCAUUAUUAUCUACUUCUAUAGGAGGCGGUGGCAUUUGUCUUCUUCCUUGUAUAUCCACUGUCUUAUAUGGUUCAAGAAGAGACACGUGGAAUAAAGGAUGGAUCUUCAUUGACUCCGGUAGAUGUAACCGAUAUGCAACUGGUUGAUCUGUUCGGAAACAGAAAAGGGGCCAAGCCUACGAUAGUCCAAUUUGUCACAAGGUCGAGUGGUCUUGAUAUUGCGACGAAGUAGCUAUACCUUAUCACCCACGUUGAGUUGUGGUUGCUCUUUACGAUAUACAUCUGCAUUUAUCUUUUGCCGUUUUUGAGCUUUCUUCAACUGCGCCUUCAUUAUUGCAUGUAACUCUGACAACCGAUUUGCCAUAUCUUCUGCUGCAGGAUUAUCAACUUUUGAAAAAUCAAAAGUAUCAAGUCGUGGAUGAUAGCCAUAAUUGGCAAAGAAAGGUGUUUGUUGCGUGGAAGAAUGUACUGUAUUAUUAUAAGCAAACUCUGCCAAUGGCAGAAGGUUUGUCCAAUCAUCUUGUUGAUAGUUGAUGGUACACCUUAAAUAUUGUUCCAAGACUUGGUUUACGCGCUCUGUUUGUCCAUCAGUUUGAGGAUGGAAAGCUGAAGAUAGCUUUAUGUCCACUUUUAAAAUCUUGAAAAGAGUCCUCCAGAAUCUCGACACAAAUUGAGUUCCCCUAUCCGAUAUGAUAUCUUUAGAUAAUCCAUGAUAGCGAUAGAUAUUAUCAAUGAAAAGCUUAGCUGUUUUUUCACCUGUGAUAGAUUUUGUACAUGGCAUAAAAUGUGCCAUCUUGGUGAAACGAUCUACUAUCACAAAUAUAGAAUCAUUAGAUCUUGAGUUUGGAAGAUCUGUGAUGAAAUCCAUAGAAACAGAAGACCAUGGUUGUUCUGGUAUAGGUAAUGGCUGAAGAAGUCCGUAAGGUCGAUGUCGAGGAAUUUUUGAUCUUGAACAAAUAUCACAUGAUUGUACAAAUUCUUUGACUGACUUCCACAUUUGUGGCCACCAAAAAUCUCUUGAUAUGAGUUUCAAAGUCUUAUUAUAUCCAAAGUGCCAUGCUGCUGGAAAGUCAUGACGUGCUUGAAGAACACGCAAACGUGCUUUUCCUUCUGGAACAUAUAGGCGUCCUUCAAAAUAUAAUAGAUUAUUCUUGAACUCGAACUUAGAAGAAUCAUGAGACUUGGAAGAAUUAUUCUCGAUAUCAUGAACAAGAGGGUCUGAGGACAUACUGGACUGGAUUUGCUUGAGAAAAGUUGAAUCAACAGUCAAUGUUGAUUUCACUGCUCGGAGAUGAAAUUGCUCCGGUUUCAAGAGGACCGUUCUUUGUUGCUCAAAAGCUGCAUCUCCUUCUUUUGGUGCAAAAUAAGAACGUCUAGACAGGGCAUCGGACAAACCUUGUUGUUUUCUUGGCCGAUAAGUGAUAAUGAAGUCGAAUCUUGACAAAGACAUACUCCAACGAGCUUGACGACGAUUCAACAUGCGUGCUGACAUGAAAUACUCGAGGUUCUUGUGAUCUGUAUACACAGUGACUGGACUAGAAGCACCUUCUAGAUAAUGACGCCAUUCUUGAAAGGAAUCCACGAUUGCAAGAAGUUCUUUAUCGUGGAUCUCAUAAUUGAUCUCGGCUGCUGAGAAUUUUCUUGAAUGAAAAGCUAUCGGAUGAAGUUUGUCAUCUGUUCCCAUUUGUGAUAAAACUGCACCCAAGGCAAAAUCCGAUGCAUCUGUUUCCAUAAAAAAUGCCUUGGAAAAGUCAACACGAUAUAAGACUGGUGCAGAGACAAACGAUGUCUUCAAGGCUUCAAAUGCUGCUUCCGCUUCUUGAUUCCAUUGGAAUUUAUCUUUACUAGUCAAGCGUGUAAGUAGAGUUGCAACUCGUGAGAAGUCUUUGAUGAAGAUCCGAUAGUAAUUGGCAAAUCCCAAGAAACAUUGGACAUCUCUUACAGUCUUUGGAAUCUUCCAAUCCAUGAUUGUUUGGACUUUCUUAGAAUCCAUCAUAAGACCAUCAUUUGAAAUGAUGUAUCCUAAAAAGUCAACUUGAGUAGUGUGAAAUACACACUUUUCUAUCUUGGCGUACAAUCCUGCAUCUCUAAGUUUUUGUAAUACUUGACGAACAUGUAUUUCAUGUUCUUCAACAUUCUUAGAAUAGAUCAGGAUAUCGUCUAGGUAGCAGACGACAAAAUUGUCUAAGAAUUCAUGAAAUACAUCAUUCAUGAGAUGUUGAAAAGCAGCUGGUGCAUUCGUGAGUCCAAAAGGCAUGACAUUGUAUUCAAAGUGUCCGUACCUGGUUCGAAACGCAGUCUUCCAUUCAUCUCCUUCUUUGAUCCGUACUAGAUUAUAUGCUCCUCUUAGAUCUAUUUUUGUAUAGAUCUUAGCUUGAUUUAACUGGUCAAGGAGUCCUGAUAUCAAAGGUAAUGGAUACCUGUUCUUGAUUGUGAUCUUGUUGAGUCCUCGAUAGUCAACACACAUUCGUAAAGAUCCAUCUUUUUUCUUUACGAAUAAAAUUGGAGCUCCUGCUGGAGAUUUUGAAUGGCGUAUGAAAUUCUUCGCUAAAUUCUCGUCAAUAUAUGUCUUGAGUUCAGCCAACUCAUCUUGCGAUAAACUGUAAAUUGGUCCAAAUGGUGGCAGAGUUCCUUCCUUGAGAUCGAUUGAACAAUCGUAUGGGCGAUGCUCAGGAAGAAUAUCUGCAUUCUUUUUCUCAAAAACGUCUUGAUAAUCCUGAUAUUGACUUGGAAUGCCACUUGAAGUCUUUACGCUUUCAGAAAUAGGUGCAGCAUAAAUAGCAAAAGUUGAUCCUUCUUUUGCUGCGUGUAUAAAUGCUUUUGCACCUAUAGGUGCGAGUUUUACUAUACUAGACUCAUGGUUUUUUACUUGGUUAAUAGAACUGUUACUAAUGCUCUGAGGAAAAUCAAGUUUACGAGAAAUCCAAUCUAUUCGAGGAUUAUACUUUUCUAACCAUGAUAAGCCUAAAAUUACUGGAUUAGAGGGAGAUCUAAUUAUAUUAAAAAUUACGCAACUACUAUGACCAUUUAUUACUACAUCUACAGGAAGUGUUUCGUGAGUUACAUCUCCAGAAGACAACGGACGACUAUCUAUGACUUCUACGUGUACAGGUUUAGUUUUUUGUAUUAAUGAUAUUCUAUGACAUCUAGCAAAUUCUUCAUCUAAAAAACAAGAUGAGGCUCCUGAAUCUACCAAGGCAGAGGCUUUGUAAUUAUUAGGUCCUAAACGCACAUCUAUUAUAAAACAAGGAGAUGGUUCUGAGGAGAGGAUAGGACCUUUAUUAGAAGUUGUACAAGAUUCCAGCCGCACGGUCCCUAUUGUAGCUGGACGUACUCGUUUUCUGACAUACUGUCUUCUUUGAUAGCCGUACUCCUCAUUUUGUAGUUAUGUCGCUUCUUUGGACAAUGUUGAGCAGUGUGCUUAGGUUCUCCACAAUAUAAGCACAAUCCUUCUUGUCGACGACGAGACUUUUCUUGCUCAGUAAGAGGUUUGAAACGUACCGCAUCAAUUUGCAUAUCCUCUACUUCUGAAGGUAUGUGUUGAGGAGACGUCGGUGUUGCCAUUGAAUUGUAGUAACGUUGAGGCCCACUUGUGCGACUCUCGGAUCGAAAUUCAAAAAGUCGAUUGUCGCACUUCACAGCAAAGUCAAUUGCUUGACUCAAUGUUUGAGAAUCAGGUAAAUUAAGCAUCAAUUUCUUUACCUCAUAUUGUAAUCCGUAGAGAAAUUGACUCACAAGUGCGGCAUCAUCCCACUUGAUAUCAGUUACAAGUUGUCGAAAUUGCGAAGCAUAUAAUGUUACUGAUCGAUUGCCUUGUCGCAAAAUACGGAUCUUGUUGGUUGCAACACGAAUUGCAUCAUGUUCUCCAAACAUGGAUCGAAACUCCGCCAAAAAAGCCUCCAGAUUAUCCAAUAUUGGAUCUCGUCGUUCAAGAAAAGAUGAAAACCAUGACAAUGCUGAACCUGAAAGAAGUGUACCAAUGAAUCUAACUUGUGACCCUGGAGUUGGAUAGCUCUGGGGUUGAAGUUCAAUCACUAGUUGGACCUGAUUGAUGAAUCCUCGAAACUUGGAUCUGGUACCAUCAAACUUCUCGGGCAAGGCAACUCUCGGUUCUCUAACACUCGAAGGGUGUUCCAUUCUGGGAGAAGGGAUAUGGUUUGGUGCAGAUGUUGAAGCAGCCCUAAUCAUUUCUAUAUCUUCACUUCCUACCAUUUUUGUUGCUCCUUGUGGUGGUAAAUUGAGUUGAUGCAUCGCAAGCAUUAACUCCCUCAAUUGUUCUUGCAUCUGUGCUAUUGCACUCUUCAUUUCAACAAGCUCUGCCAUAGUAGCACUUAGAAAAGAGAAGAUAUCUAACAAUGCUCAAAACAAAUAGAAGAGAGGAAUUGAUAACAAAGAAAAUACUAAGAACAAUAUCAGUUUAAAAGAGGGUAAUCCGCAACUUCUAAUGCGCUUAUGUCUUAUCAAGAAAAAAGGGGUAAUCCACUCUUAAUCAAGAAAAGACAAAGCUCUGAUAUUGUAAGUGUACUCUUGUCAAUCUGUCAAGGACAAGAACUCGAUGAAAGCUAAAGAGUAAGUGAGACUUUUCUCAAAAAGAAAUAGGACAAAAUAGAAAUAUGUAUAUUAAGAAAGAAACUGGAAUGGCUAUUGCCAAAAUACAAGAAAACUAGAGACCCUUGAAACUAGACUAGAAGCAAGAAAGGAGUUGACAAGAGUGAAGAGGGCUUCACUCUUGUCUCUAUAUAUACUAUCUAACUAGAAGCCACGUGGCGAUGUUCUAUAAGACCUCCAAUAUAUGUUGACUUUCUAGGCCACAUGCCUUUGCUUGCAAGGCAAGUUUUCUAUGGAUGGACCACGUAGUUAGCUUGUUCUUUAAGCUUCCAACAUGUGUGGCACAUGGCUAACUUGUUGACCAAGUUUCUAACCUAAAAGUCAACUAUAGACUCCUAUAAAGUCAAAGCAGCGUCUAUGAAGCUUCUAAGAAGCUUCUCUAGAAGAUAUUACACAAUUAACCUACUUUUACAUACUUUUAUCUAUUCAUAUAGGUAAUUAUAUGUAUGUCCGUGAUAGAUAUGUAAAAUUCACCCUUAAAAUUUAUCACAAAAAAAACCAAUUGUAAAUUCACUCUCAAACUUCUAACAUUUAAGAAAUCCUAGCAGACGCUUUAAAUCCUAAUUUACAAGCACCCAAGCACUAUUUUCUUAAUAUCUCAAGAAUCCAAUACUCAAAUGUCAUAGAACUUAUGCAUAAAGUUUACUAACAUGAAAUUACACAUUUCCUGAAAUUUUGAGCAAAAACCUUGUCAAAUUGCUCAAGAUAUAGCUCAAGAGACAACUACUAGUGUAUCGGAUCACUUACUACCCUUAGAUUGCAAGCAUUGACUUCAAAAUCCAAUAACUCCUUCACUUCAAAUUGAAAUCUAGUAAGCAGUCCAUGAAAAGUGUAGCUGCAAAAGUGCUCUCUCUAGUUGCAAUCGCCAAUCCUCAAUUGCUAUCCAUAUGCAUGUGUUAUGCUAAAAAGAGUGACGGUAGCUCCCAAAUCAACACCUUUACUUUGAGUACCUAUAUCUCCUUCAUAUAAACUCCAAACCAUACAAAACUUAUGCCAAAACCAUAGCCAAAAAUCUAAACUUGCUGAUUCUAGCCUUCAAAGCUCAAAUGGCCCCGAGAAAUUAACCCUAAUCCCUAAUAUGGCCUCAUGCAGCCUCCUCAAAGCCCAUUGGUCAUGAUUUUUGACCAAUAGGAAUGGAGAUUUUCAUCAUUCAUCUCCAUUUAUCUAUAUUGGUGCCCUAAUUACUCCCUUUGCUACUAAAAUCCUUUUUCAAUCUUUUUUUUUUUAUAAGAUUUGCAUAAUUUAUGCUCUAAAUAUCAAAUAAAAGAACCAAAAUAAGUUUUCAAAGGUCACCAAUGUCUAACAAAGGUGCUUCUAAAUAUUUAGAAGUUAUUAUCAACCAAAACCAAUCUUAAAAGCCACUAUCAAAAGAAAAUUAAAGUUAUACAAAUUCUAUAGUAAUCUUUUUAAACAACCUCUUCUCAAGGUAAUAAUCAAAUUAUAUUCUACAACCAACUAAAAUCUACUAUAGAGUUCUUAUCAUAUUACUUAAUAAAUUAUAUAUUAAAUACAUAAUUGUAUUAUUUUCAUAUAGUAGCUGAAUAUCAACAUGGCAUUGUGACAUUAUCCCUCUUUUUAGGGAUGAGUUCCAUGAGGAGCGGUCAUCAUAUGUUAAAGAAGUGUCACGGACAUAAUCAUGUAAGCUAGUAAUUAUAUAUACAAAUAGGUAGAAGUAAGUAAAAAUAGAUAAAAAUAAGUUAAUUCUAUAGUAUUUAACAUGAUAGCUUCUUAGAAGCUUUAUAGACACUGCUUUGACUUCAUAGGUAUCUUUAAUUGACUUUUUGGAUUAGAAACGGGGUCAACAAGUUGGCCAUGUGCUACACAUGUUGUUAGCUUGAAGAUCAAGCUAACUAUGUGGCCCGCACAUAGAAAAACUUUCCUUGUAAGUCAAAGCAUGUGUCCUACAAAGUCAACACAUAUUAGCGGUCCUAUAGAAUGUCGCCACAUAGCCCCUAGUUAGAUAGUAUAUAUAGAGACAAGAGUGAAGGCUUCUUCACUCUUGUCAACUCCUUUCUUGCUUCUAGUCUAGUUUCAAGGGUCUCUAGUUUUUUUGUCUUUUGGCAAUAGCCAUUCCAGUUUCUCUUUCAAUAUAUAUAUUUGUUUAUAUAUAUUUUGUUACCUCUCUUUGAAUAAAGGCUCACUUAUUUGAAUUUUUUUUUCAUCGAAUUCUUAUCCUUGACAGAUUGACAAAAGUACACCUACAAUAUCAGAGCUUUGUCUAAUCUUGAUUAAGAGUGGAUUAUCCCUUUUUCUUAAUAAGAUAUAAGCAUAUUAGAAGUAACGGAUUACUCUCUUCUAAACUGAUAUUGUCCAUAGUUUUCAAGUCCUCUCUUCUAUUUGUCUUGAGCGAUAUUAGACAUCUUCUCUCUUCUAAGUGUUAUCAUGGCAGAACUUGUUGAAAUGAAGAGUGCAAUAGUACAAAUGCAAGAGCAAUUGAGGGAGUUAAUGCUUGCGAUGCAUCAACUCAAUUUACCACCACAAAAAGCAACAAGAUUGGUAAGAAGUGAAGAUAUAAAAAUGGUUGGAGCUGCUUCAACAUCUGCACCAAACCAUGUCCUUUGUCCUAUGGUGGAACGCCCUUCAAAUGUUAGAGAACCAAGAAUUGCCAUACCUGAGAAGUUUGAUGGCACCGGAUCCAAGUUUCGAGGAUUUAUCAAUCAAGUGUAACUUGUGAUUGAACUUCAACCCCAAAGCUAUCUAACUCCAGGAUCGCAAGUUAGAUUCAUUGGUACGCUUCUUUCAGGUUCAGAACUAUCGUGGUUUUCAUCUUUUUUGAACGACGAGAUCCAAUAUUGAAUAAUCUAGAGGCUUUUUUGGUGGAGUUUCGAUCCAUGUAUGGAGAACAUGAUGUAAUUCAUGUUGCAACCAAAAAGAUCCAUAUUUUACGACAAGAUAAUUGAUUACUAACGUUAAAUGCUUCAAUAUUUUGACAACUUGCAACUGAUAUCAAGUAGGAUGAUGCUACACUUAUUAGCUAAUUUCUCUACGGAUUAUAAUAUGAGGUAAAAAAAUUAAUGCUCAACUUACCUGAUCCUCAAACAUUGAGUCAAGCAAUUGACUUUGUAGUGAAGUGUGACAAUCGCCUUUUUGAAUUUCGAUCUCAGAACCAUACAAGUGCACCUCAACGUUACUAUAAUUCAAUGGCAACACCAACACCUCUUCAACACAUACAUUCGGAAGUAGAGGAUAUGUAAAUUGAUGCAGUACGUUUCAAACCUCUUACUGAGCAAAAAAAGACUCGUCGUCGUCAAGAAGGAUUAUGUUUAUAUUGUGGAGAACUAAAGCACACUGCUCAAUAUUAUCCAAAGAAACGACGCAAUCACAAAAUGAGGAGUAUGGCUGUAAAAGAAGAUAAUAUGUUGAAAAACGAGUUUGUCCAACUAAAAUAGGGACCGUGCGACUAGAACCUUGCACAACAUCUAGUAAAGGUCCUAUUCUCUCUUCAGAGCCUUCUCCUUGUUUUACAUUAAAUGUUAUUUUAGGACCUAAACAUUACAAAGUCUCUGCCUUGUUAGAUUCAGGAGCCUCAGCGUGUUUUUUAGAUGAAGAAUUUACUAAAAGACAUAGCAUAUCUUUAGUAAAGAAAACUAAACAUGUUCAUGUAGAAGUCAUAGAUGGUCGUCCAUUGUCAUCUGGAGAUAUUACUCAUGAAAUCCUUCUUAUAGAAGUAAUAAUCAAUGGUCAUAAUAGUUUUGUAGUAUUUAAUAUUAUUAGAUCUAUCUCUAAUCCAGUAAUUUUAGGUUUAUCGUGGUUAAAAAAAUACAACCUUCAAAUAGAUUGGAUUUCUCGAACUCUUACUUUCUCUAAAAAUAUAACUAAUAGUGUAGUUAAUCAAGUAGAGAGUCAUAAGUCCAAUUCAAUUAAACUCGUAUUUAUAGGUGCAAAAGCUUUCUUACAUGCUGCUAUGAAAGAAUCACCAUAUAUUAUUUAUGCCACACCCGUUUCUACUAGUGAAAAGACUUCAAGUGGCAUUCCAAGCCAAUAUCAAGAAUUUCAAGAUGUAUUUGAAAAAAAAAAUGUGGAUACACUCCCGGAACAUCGUCCCUAUGAUUGCUCAAUUGACCUUCAAGAAGGAGCACAACCGCCAUUCGGACCAAUCUAUAGUUUAUCACAAAAUGAGUUGGCUGAACUCAAGGAAUAUAUUAAAAAAAAUCUAGCUAAGAAUUUCAUACGCCAUUCUAAAUCUCCAACAGGAGCUCCAAUUCUAUUUGUGAAGAAAAAAGAUGGAUCAUUGCGGAUGUGUGUUGAUUAUCAAGGACUCAAUAAGAUUACUAUCAAGAAUAGGUAUCCACUACCUUUAAUAUCUGGACUUCUUGAUCAGCUAAAUCAAGCUAAGAUCUAUAGAAAAAUAGAUCUUCGGGGAGCAUACAAUCUAGUACACAUCAAAGAAGGAGAUGAAUGGAAGACUACGUUUCGAACUAGGUAUGGACAUUUUGAAUACAAUGUCAUGCCUUUUGGACUUACAAAUGCACCAGCAACUUUUCAACAUCUAAUGAAUGAUGUUUUUUGAGAAUUUUUGGACGAUUUUGUGGUAUGUUAUCUAGACGACAUCUUGAUCUAUUCUAAGAAUCCAGAAGAACAUGAACUUCAUGUUCGUCGUGUGUUACAAAAAUUAAGAGAUGCAGGACUCUAUAUCAAGAUAGAAAAGUGUGUGUUCCAUACUACUCAAGUCGAUUUCUCAGGUUACAUCAUUUCAAAUGAUGGACUUAUGAUGGAUCCUAAGAAAGUUCAAACUAUUAUAGACUCAAAGAUCUCAAAAAUGAUAAGAGAUGUCCAAUGUUUUUUGGGAUUUGCCAACUACUAUCGGAUCUUCAUCAAAGACUUCUCUCGAGUUGCAGCUCUACUUACACGUUUGACUUGUAAAGACAAACUCCAAUGGAAUCAAGAAGCGGAAGUUGCUUUUGAAUCUUUGAAGACAGCGUUUGUUUCUGCACCAAUAUUGUAUCGUGUUGAUUUUUUCCAAGCAUUCUUUAUGGAAACAGAUGCAUCGGACUUUGCUCUAGGUGUGGUUUUAUCACAAAUGGGAACAGAUGACAAACUUCAUUCAGUAGCCUUUUAUUCAAGAAAAUUCUCAGCAACAAAAAUCAAUUAUGAGAUCCACGACAAAGAACUUCUUGCAAUUGUGGAUUCUUUUCAAGAAUGGCAUCAUUAUCUAGAAGGCGCUUCCAGUCCAGUCACCGUAUAUACGGAUCACAAGAACCUCGAAUAUUUUAUGUCAGCACGCAUAUUAAAUCAUCGCCAAGCUUGUUGGAGCAUGUCUUUAUCAAGAUUCGAGUUCAUCAUCACUUAUCCGCAAGGAAAACAACAAGGUUUGUCCGAUGCCUUGUCUAGACGUUCUUAUCUUGCACCAAAAGAAGGAGAUGCAGCUUUUGAGCAACAAAGAAUGGUUCUCUUGAAGCUAGAGCAAUUUCAUCUUUGAGCAAUAAAAUCAACAUUGACUGUCGAUUUAACUUUUCUUAAGCAAGUCCAGUUAAGUAUGUCUUCAGACCCUCUUGUUCAUGAUAUCAAGAAUAAUUCUUCUAAAUCUCAUGAUCCUUCUAAAUUUGAAUUCAAGAACAACCUACUCUAUUUUGAAGGACGUCUAUAUGUUCCAGAAGGAGAAGCAUGUUUACGUGUUCUUCAAGCUCAUCACGACUUCCCAACAGCAGGACAUUUUGGAUAUAAUAAGACUUUAGAGCUGAUAUCUAGAGAUUUUUGGUGGCUUCAAAUGUAAUAUCUAGGCAUUUUUGGUGGCUUCAAAGGCAGUUAAAGAUUUUGUACAAUCAUGUGAUGUUUGCUCAAGAUCAAAAACUCCUCGUCAUCGACCUUUUGGACUUCUUCAGCCAUUAUCCAUUCCAGAACAACCAUGGUCUUCUGUUUCUAUGGACUUCAUCACGGAUCUUCUAAUCUUAGGUUCUUAUGACUCUAUAUCCGUAAUGGUAGAUCGUUUUACCAAGAUGGCAUAUUUUGUACCAUGUAUAAAAUCUAUCACUAGUGAAGAAACAACUAAGCUCUUUUUUGACAAUAUCUAUCGCUAUCAUGGAUUAUCCAAGGAUAUUUUAUCAGAUAGGAGAACUCAAUUUGUAUCAAGAUUUUGGCGGACUCUUUUUAAGAUUCUUAAAGUAGAUAUAAAACUAUCUUUGAUAUUCCAUCUUCAAACUGAUGGACAAACAGAGCGUGUUAAUCAAGUUUUGGAGUAAUAUUUAAGAUGUACCAUUAAUUACCAACAAGAUGAUUGGACAACUCUUUUGCCAUUGGCAGAGUUUGCUUACAAUAAUACGGUACAUUUUUCUACAAAACAAACACCUUUCUUUGCUAAUUAUGGUUAUCAUCCUUGACUUGAUACUUUUGACUUUUCAAAAUUUGAUAAUCCUGCUGCGAAAGAUUUGGCAAAUCAUUUAUCAGAGCUACAUGCAACGAUGAAGGCGCAGUUAAAAGUGACUCAAGAACAACAAAAGUUCAAUGCGGAUGUCUAUCAAAAGGAACAACCAUCAUUCAUCUUGGGUGAUAAGGUAUGGCUACUUCAUUGCAAUAUCAAGACCACUCGUCCUUGUGACAAGUUGGACUAUUGAAGGCUGGGACCAUUUUCUAUUUCUGCACAAAUCAAUCCAGUUACAUAUCGUUUAUAUCUAUCGGAGUCAAUGAAAAUCCAUUCGAUAUUCUACGUGUCUCUUCUUGAACCAUACAAGACAUUCGACAUACCAAGAAGACGACAAGCUCCACCUCCUCCUAUAGAAGUGGACAAUAGUGAAGAAUUUGAAGUAGAAGAAGUCUUAGAUUCAAGGCAGCACCAAAAUAAAUUAGAAUAUCUUGUCCAUUGGCACGGAUAUGGUAUUAGUGAAUGCACAUGGGAGCCAAUAAAAAAUCUUGCAAAUGUAGCAAAGGCGAUGGAGGCUUUUCAUCGACGCCAUCCAUCAAAAUCAAGAUGAAAACCUUCUUUAUAAAAGAAACAACAUCUAGGCAAGAUAACAUUCACUUUCAAUUCUUAUUCGUAGCUUCUUUAUAGUAGUGAAACUCAGGAGAUGGAGAACCAACAAUCAGUGGAUUUGACUUAAGAGCCUUCAUUUGCUGACCUAUCGGAUGAGACAUUACGAUUGUCACAACCUUCAAGACAACGCAAUUGAGAUGAAGAUCUUCAAGAACGACAUCUUCUUCCUCGAAGAGAUGGCAAGAUACAACGCGUUUGGUAUCAUGAUUUGGGAAGGGACUCCUGAUGUUUGGUGAUUGUGCUAGAGAUAGGAACAACUCCUGAUGGUGUUCCAAAUAUUCUAUUUGAAGGAAGUUACGAAGGCCUCAACAAUGAUCAAAUAACUGGGUGGUCUUCCCGCUGUCGUAUGGCGUGAUUUUCUAUCUGGGAAUACACCGGGUAUCUAGCUGUAGAGAGUUUAGGUUUCUUUUUUAUAUAAUGCCUUAGCUCCCAAAAACAAACUCCUUGCUUUGUAUAAAAAUUCAAAAUAUCUUAAAAUUCUUCAAAAUAUAUUUCUUCCUGCCAAGGACCUUUUUACAUCAGACUUUAAAAAUUCAUAAAAGCUAAUCGAACCGUUCACUUUGUUUCAAAUUUCUACAUAAGCUAGAUGCUAUACUUACCUUUUACCUUAAAAAAAAUUGAAUCGUACAUCUAUCACCGAUCGUUCGGCAUCUAAGAAACCCUAGCAUGUGCACAAAACCCUAACUUACAUGCACCCGAAAACUAUUUUCCUUAUAUCUCUUAAACCCAAGCUCCAAAUCACACAAAACUUGUAUAGAAAGCUUUAUAACAAGAAUACACUCAAUCUUGAAAAUUUUGAGCUAAAACCUCAUCAAAUUGUCUAAGAUAUAGCUCAAAUCACAAGCACAAGUAAUUCGGGCUACUUACUACCCUUAGAUAUCAAGCGCUGACUUCAACUGCCAAUAUCUCCUUCAUAAAAGCUUGGAAUUCGAUAAACAGUAUGCACAAACUAUAGCCGAAAAAGUGUUCUCUUCAAAUCCGGUCGCGGAUCCUCGUUUGCUGUCCGUACGCGUGCGGUAUGCUCAAAAGAGUGACAGUACGUCGAAAACUUACACCUUAACUUUGAGCGCCUAUAACUUCUUCAUAUAAACCCCAAAUGACACAAGUUUUGCACCAAAACCAUAUCCAAAAACCUAAACCUUCUGACCCUAGCCUCAAAAACUCGAAUGGCGUCGAGAAACUAACCCUACUCCCUAAUAUGGCCUCGGGCAGCCUCCUCAAAGCCCAUUGGUCAUGAUUUUUGACCAAUAGGAAUGGAGAUUUUUAUUUUUCAUCUCCAUUCAUCCAUAUUGGUGCCCUAAUUAAUCCUUUUGCUACCAAAACCCCCUUCUUCAUCCCUUUUCUUAUAAGAUUUUUACAAUGAGUCUUUUUGACACCAAAUAAAAAAUCCAAAAGAAGUUUUCAAAGGUCACCAAUGUCUAACAAAGGUGAUUCUAAUUAUUUAGAAGUCACUAUGAACUAAACCAAUCUUAAAAGCCACUAUGAAAAAGAAAUUAAAGUUAUAAAAAUUCUAUAGUAACCUUUUUAAACAACCUCUUCUCAAAGUAAUAAUCAAAUUAUAUCCUACAACCAACUAAAAUCUACUAACAUGGCUCUUACCAUGUUACUUAAUAAAUUAUAUAUUAAGUACAUAAUUACAUUAUUUUCAUAUAGUAGCCGAACCACAACACGACACCGCUCUGGUAUGGGACACUACCGAUGGUUGAAAGGCCCUAUCAAUCAUCUUCGAAGAGAACAAAGAUCAGAGUAUGUGGCGAAUACAAUUCGUCGCAUUAUAGAUUUCCUCAACAUAUGAUGACCGCUCCUCGUGGAACUCGUCUCUAGAAGGGAGGGUAAUAUCAUAGACAUAAUCAUGUAAGCUAGUAAUUAUAUAUAUAAAUAGGUAAAAGUAAGUAAAAGUAGAUAAAAAUAAGUUAAUUCUAUAGUAUUUAAUAUGAAAGCUUCUUAGAAGCUUCAUAGACGCUGCUUUGACUUCAUAGGUGACUUUAAUUGACUUUUUGGAUUAGAAACGUGGUCAACAAGUUGGCCAUGUACUACACAUGUUGUUAGCUUGAAGAUCAACUAACUAUGUGGCCCAUACAUAGAAGAACUUUCCUUGUAAGUCAAGGCAUGUAUCCUACAAAGUCAACACAUAUUAGAGGUCCUAUAGAACAUCGCCAAAUAGCCCUUAGUUAGAUAGUAUAUAUAGAGACAAGAGUGAAAGCUUCUUCACUCUUGUCAACUCCUUUCUUGCUUCUAGUCUUGUUUCAAGGAUCUCUAGUUUUCUUGUCUUUUGGCAAUAGCCAUUCCAGUUUCUCUUUCAAUAUAUAUACUUGUUUAUAUAUAUUUUAUAACCUCUCUUUGAGUAAAGGCUCACUUGUCUGAAUUAUUUUUUCAUCGAAUUCUUGUCCUUGACAGGAAGGCCAAGAUGCGGUGAAUUAUAUUUGUUACAUACUCCGAUCUUUGCUCUCUUUAAAGAUAGUUGAUAGGUCCUCUUAACUAUCUAUAGGGUCCCAUACCAGAGCAAGAAGAUUCCCCUAGUCAUUGUGAUUUAGUCAUUUUUAAGGCCUUCAUAACUUUCUUCAAAUAAAAUAUUUGAAACAUUGUUAGGAGUAGUUCCUACCUCUAAUAAAAUCACUAAACAUUACAAUUCUCUUCCAAGGUCGUGAUACCAAACUUGUUGUACCUCGCCAUCUAUUUGAAAAAAAACAUGUCGUUUUUGACGAUCUUCAUCUCGAUUUUGUUGUCUUGAAGGUUGUGACAAUCGUAAUGUCUCGUCUAGUAAGUUCGCAAAUGAAAGCUCUUGAGUUGAAUCUGCUGGUUGUUGGUGCUCCAUCUCAUUACAAAUACACAAAAGCUACAAUGAAAGAUAGAAGGUAGAAUGUUAUUUUCUUUUGAUCUUAUUUCUUUUAUAAUAAAGAUUUGAUAUUCUUCAUCUUGGUUUUGAUGAAAGACUUUAACUAUCUUUGCUGUAUUUGCAAGAUUCUUUAAUUAUUUAUUUCUAAAACUUGAUGCACCUUCAUUUCACAUAUAUAAAUCCUUAAGAACUUAGUGAUAUUCCUUCUAUCAAACCUCUCAACUUUGUCCACUACUACUUGUAUGGCCUUAGUAUUGUUCUUAUCCUCUCCAUGUACCUAUUGCCUUUCUUCUAUAAAUUGAGCAAAUGUCCUAAAUAAAUCAUGGACACCCACUUCUCUUGAUAAUCCAAACCCUGGAUUUUGAUCUCCCAUUUCAACUUGUUGAAAAAAUUAGUGCCUUAAGGCUUUCUCAGUGGAAGCACCAAUAUGUCGGGGUAGAGAGAAUUUGCCUCAAGAAAAUGUUAGGCUUCUGGCUAUCACUAAUCAUUCAAUCAAGUUUAAAAAUAAGAAAAGCCUUAAGUUUAUAUAUAAAUUUUUUCUUUUGAGUAAUUACUCCAAAUACACAACCUUCAAGUAACCAAUAUCACCCAAAAUAUGAUAAAUCCUUUAAAACCUUGUAUAUCCUUAUGUGGAAAUUUUCUCGAACUUCAAUAGCUUAUAUCUCUUAAUCCGACUGUUCAAACAAACUCAAAUUUUACAUAAGAUACUGAUGUAUUCUUAUUAACUUUUACAACAAAUUUCAAUUGUAAAUUUAUUAUGGAUCUUGAGAUAACUCAAAAAUCCUAACAGUCACUUCAAAUCCUCAUCUUUAUACAUUCGCAUGCAAUUUUCUUUAUAUCUCACAAAAUAUAAGCUCAAAUGCCACAAAAUUUAUAUGUAUAGCUUCUAAACACAAAAUGUUACAUUUUCCAAAAAGUUUGAAUCAAAAAUUUGUUCAAAAACUCAAGUUAUGGCUCCAACUAUUACUAUAAACAAAACCGCUGACUUACUGCCUUUCAUUUGGAAGCGCUGCCUUCAACUCCUUAUAACUCCUUCAUAUGAACUCCAAAAGCAAUAAUUUUUUUGUGAAAAAAUUAGGCCUUACAAGUAAAUUUUUGUUUUAUUUGUAUCUUCUAAUCUUCAAAAGCUAUUGUACAACUCCUCGUAUCCUCAAAAGAAUAAUAGUAUGUCUUGAAUUAACACCUUAACUUCAAACGGUUGUAAUUUCUUCACCUUAACUCUAAAUAUUCUAAUUUUUACAUACAAAUUGUAUUCCAAAUCCUAAACUUUACAAUCCUAGCUUCUAAAUUCCAAAUGCCUUCUUUGAAGUCACCGAAAUCCUUGGUAAGGUCACGAUCAGCUUCCUCAAAGCCUAUUGGAUAUUGGGCAUGGUAUUCGACCAAUAGGAAUGAAGUUCUCCAUUCCUUGCCUUCAUCCAACCAUGCCUUACUUUCAUCCCUCUCAAUUAGCUUCUUACUAAUUUAGAUUUUUAUCCUUAGCCUUCCAUCUUCUCCCAAGGCUUCAUACUAAAUAUUUAGGUCCUAUAUAUUUUUUUUUAAUAUCAAAAGUAAAAUAAGUAAAGAAACAAAGUAAAUUUUCUUAUACCAACUCUUUUUAAUUUAAUCCACUAGCUAUUCUAACAUACAUCUAGAUUUAUUAACAUAUAAUAUGUUUUAAUAAAUUUUUACAUAUUGUAAGCAUUUAUAGUAUGACAACGAAAUUUAAGAUUGGUGUAAAAAUAAAUUCUUUCUUUAAAGCAUCAAAUGAUGCUUUUGCUUGUUUAUUCCACUUUAUUUUGUCUUUACAAGUCAAACAUGUAAGUAGAGCUGUAACUUGAAAAAUAUUCUUCAUGAAGAUUUGAUGGUAAUUAGCAAAGCCCAAAAAGCAUUCUACAUCUUUAACUGUUCUUGGAAUCCAUCAUAAGGCCUUCAUUGGAAAUGAUGUAUCCUAAGAAGUUAACAUAAAUAGUAUGGUAUACAUACUUUUCUAAUUUGGCAUAUAAUCUUACAUCUCUAAGUUUCUGUAACACGCGAAGAACAUGAAGUUCAUGUUCUUCUGUAUUCUUAGAGUAGAUUAGAAUGUCAUCUAAAUAGUAAAGAAUAAAAUCAUCUAAAAACUCACAAAAAACAUCAUUUAUAAGAUGUUGAAAAGUGGCCGGUGUAUUCAUGAGUCCAAAAGGCAUGACAUUAUAUUCAAAAUAUCCAUACCUAAUUCAAAUAGCAGUCUUCCAUUUAUCUCCUUCUUUGAUUUGAACUAAGUUGUAUGCUCCUCGUAGAUCUAUUUUGAUAAAGAUCUUUACUUGAUUGAGUUGGUCAAGAAGUCCUGAAAUCAAAGACAAAGGAUACCUAUUUUUGAUGGUGAUCUUGUUGAGUCCUCGAUAAUCCACACACAUUUGUAGAGAACCAUCUUUCUUCUAUACAAAUAAGAUAGGAGCCUCUACUGAAAAUUUAGAAUGGCAUAUGAAGUUCUUUGCCAAAUUCUCAUCAUUGUACUUCUUCAAUGCAGCCAACUCAUUCUGCAAUAAGCUAUAGAUUGGUCCGAAUGGUAGUUGAGCUCCUUCUUACAAAUCAAUUGAAUAAUCAUAAGGUCAAUGCUCGGGAAGAAUACUUGCAUUUUUCUUUUCAAAAAUAUCUUGGAAUUCUUGAUAUUGCUUAGGAAUACCACUCGACAUUGUUUCAACAUUAGAAAUACAUGUAGCAUAUAUAGCAAAAGAUGAUCCUUCUUUUGCAGCAUGUAUGAAAGCUUUUGCACCUACAAGUAAAGGUUUGGACGUAAUGGAAUUACAUAUUUCUACUUUGCUAAUGCGACCUUAGAUUAUGCUAUCAGAAAAGUUAAGGUUACGAGAAAUCCAAUCUAUUUGAGGGUUAUAUUUUUCUAACCAUGAUAAUCCUAAAAUAACCAGAUUAGAGGGAGAUUUUAUUAUAUUAAAUACUACUACACUGUUAUGAUCUUUAAUUGCUAUAUCUAAAGGAAUAGUUUCAUGGAUAAUAUUUCCAAAAGAUAAGGAAUGACCAUCUAUGACUUCUACAUGUAUGGAUUUAACUUUCUUUAAUAAAGUUAUUUUUUUAUUUUUGGCAAAAUCUUUAUCUAUAAAACAUGCUGAGGCUCUUGAAUCUAACAAAGCAAAGACUUUGUGAUUAUUAGGUCUUAAAUAUACUUCUAUUAUAAAACAAGGUGAGGGAUCUGAGGAAAGAAUAGGACCUUUACUAGAUAUUGCACAUGAUUCUAGCCGCAAGGCCCCUAUUAUAGCUGGAGAAACUCGUUUUCCAAUACAUUAUCUUCUUUGGUAAUUGUGCUCCUCAUUUUAUAAUUGUGUUGUUUCUUUGGACAAUAUUGAAUAGUAAGCUUAGCUUCUCCACAAUAUAAAUACAAUCCCUCUUGGCAAGGUUGAGUCUUUUCCUGCUUCAUGAGAGGUUUAAAAUAUAUCAUAUCAAUUUGCAUUGGUUCCAACUUUGACGAAUAUGUUUCAAAAAACUUGGGAGCUGCCACCAUUACUUGACUUAUUCCUCUCCAACUAAAUCUUUAUUCUUGAUGCCUUUCAAAUAAACGAUUGUCACAUGCAAUGGCUUGAGUAAUAAAUUAUUCCAAAGAUUCUACUUUUGGCAUUGUUAAUAACAAAUCUUUGACGCUAUCCUUCAAUCCAUAUCAAAAUUGGAUGAUAAGUGCUUUGUCAUUCCAGUCCACAUCGCAAGCAAGAUUUUGGAAUUUGGUAGCAUAUGUAGUAGCUAAUCAUGAUCCUUGUCAUAAGCAUAGAAGCUUGGUCUCUGUUAUUCAUUUUCGAUCACUUUCUCUGAAUGUGGCCAUAAAUACUUCUAGAAAUAAAUUCAAAUCAUAAAGGAGUCGUGAAUCUUUUUCCAUUAAAGGUACAAACCAAGAGAGAGUACUUUUUGAUAGUAGUGCGCCUAUAAAUCCGACUUGGAUAAAUCCAUCAGGAUAUUGGAAAGUGUGCAACCUUAGAUAGAGCUUGACUUGUUAUAAAAACUCCUCAAAAUUUUGAUCUUAUUCCAUCAAAAUUCUCAAGCAUAAUAAUCUUUGUCCCUAUCAUACUUGUAGAUACAAAACUCCCUGAAUUUGGUUGUGACGUUGAUCUACUUGCUACUUUCAACUAUGCAAACUUCUUAUCGUAGACUCUAAACUUCUUCCAUAGGUGUAGGCAUAGUACUUCCAUGAUUCACGUUAAAAAUAUGUGAGAUUUCCACUCUUAGAGUAUUGACAAGCUCAUGAAGAUCUGCUAUAGUUGCAAAUCUAUUCUCACUUCUAUUGAAAGUAGCAUCCAUAAACUUUCCUUCUAUAUACAAGUCAAACAUUUUAAAAGUUAAAUUAGAAGAGGAUUAUCCACAACUUCUAAAAAUAAAUCCUACAAAGAGAGGUAAUCCACUCUUUUUGAGGAAAAGAUUAGUAUUAGAAAACAAGAUUUUUUGUUUAAAGGUGGAUAGUCUGCAACUUUUAAAAUACAAUAAUAGAAGUGUAGUAAUCCACUCACUUCUAGAACAAGACAAAAAUAAUAUGUUAGCACUUUUGUCAAACUGUCAAGGACAUGAAUCUCAAUACACUCUUCUAUCACUGAAGAAAACUAGAAAGUCACUCAAAAGGUGAUGUAAUAUUAACUAGAAUGGCUAUUACUAAAAACAAGAAGACUAGAAAGUCUUGAAACUGUUAGGGACAUAUUCCUUAGAACUUUCUAGAGAGAAGUUUCUAGAACCUUCUAGAAAAUAAGCCUCUGGAACCUUCUAGAAGAGAAGCCUCUGGAACCUUUUAGAGAGAAGUUUCUAGAAGCUUCUAGAAAGGAAGUCUCUGGAACCUUUUAGAAGAGAAGUUUCUAGAAGCUUCUAGAAAAGAAUCCCCUGAAACUUUCUAGAAGCUUCCUAGUUAAUAGAAGUAGCUCGAGAAGUUUCUAGAACCUUCUAGAAAGGAAGCCUCUGGAACCUUCUAGAAGUAGCUCGAGAAGCUUCCUAAGUAGGAGUAUAUAUAGGGAUCGAGGCUGAACAGUUCUUCAGUCUCGACAACACAUCUCUUGGAGUUCUAGCUCACCUUUCUAGUGUUGUUCUUGUACUCAUCUGUUUAAUCUAGUUCUGCCACUUCUUCUUGAACUUCUUGUUAGAUUUCAAGUCUGUAUUUUGUGUCCGUGACAGUUUGUCGAGACUACACUAACUUGAGAUAUCAGAGCUAGUUCUUCCUUAGUAGAGUGUGGAUUAUCCCUUUACUUGAAGGUAUACUAGCAUGUUUUAGAGGUUGCGGAUUACCCUCCUCUAAACUGAUACUUCUUGUGUUACAAUAUUGGAGUCUUAUUCUUCUUGGAGAGAGUGGAUUACCCCUCUUCUUUAAAUUCUUAAGGCGUUUUAUAGGUUGUGGAUUACCCUCCUAUAAACCAAUAUUGUCUCUUAUAGGAUCAUUUUUGUCCUUCUUUUAGAAUGGCCGGAGGUCAAGACAUUAGUAUGACAAAAAGUUCGGAGUCUAAGUUAGAUGCUAUUAUGAAUGCCCUCGCUACGUUAUCACAAAGAACUGCAGAGAUUGAAGGAGUGGUGGCAAGGCUUCAUAAUGAUGGAGUAUGUGGGAUAGCACAAUCUAAACUACACCAGCCUCAAAUUUUGGCACUUGGAGAAACAACUUUACCUCAAGUUCGACAAGAACCACUAGUUCUACAACAUAAGGAGCCUUGAGUUAGCCUUCCAGAUAAGUUUGAUGGAACACGUUCCAAGUUUCGAGGAUUUGUCAAUCAAAUCAGGUUGAUAAUAGUUUUACAGUCCGAACGAUAUCCAACGGAGGAGUCACGUGUUGGGCUUGUUGGAACCUUACUUACGGGACAAGCUCUAUCAUGGUUUGCUCCUUUGUUUGAAAAAGAUCAUCCAUAUUAAACAACUUUGAAACCUUUUUGGAAACAUUUGCGGAAGCAUUUGCGGAAGCAUUUCGUGAACACGAUAAGGUUCGAUGGGCUACAACAAAGAUCCGGUCGCUACGACAAGGGAUGCGUUCUACAUCAGUCUAUGCUUCGGAUUUCAGGCAAUUAGUAUGCGACAUCAAUUGGGAUGAAGAAGCGUUGAUGAGUCAAUUCUAUUGGGAUUUAAGAGAUGAUGUGAAGGAUUUGCUGUUAACUCUUCCUGAUCCACGAACGCUCAAUGAAGCCAUUAGCCAAGCUGUGAAGUGCGAUAAUCGCCUAUUCCAACGUCGCCAAGACCAACGCUCAAGACAACAUACAAUUCGCCAUGCUCCAACUAUGUCGGCAAGCGGUGUGAAUUCGCAUUCAGAGGUGGAAGACAUGCAAAUUGAUGUGGUACGUAUCAAAUCUCUUACUAUAGAAGAAAAAAAACGACGUAUGGAGGAAAAUUUAUGCUUGUAUUGUGGUGGAGAAGGCCACAAAGUCGGAAACUGCCCCAAAAAGUAAAAUCGAGGCAUAGUCAAGACUAAGGGAGUAUUUAUUCAGAAAAACGAGGAUGCCCAGCCACAGUAGGAACCGUGCGGCUGGACAAUGAAAUAUCCCAACAACAAUCAGGUUCCUUUCUUUCUGCCCAACCUGCACUUUGUUUUACAAUUCCUCUAUUUAUCAGCCCUCAAAAACUGAGAACCUUAGCACUACUAGACUCAAGAGCAUCUGCUUGUUUUUUAGACGAAGAAUUUGCAAAGCGUCAUAAGAUCCCUUUAGUACAAAAAUCAAAACCUGUUCAUGUUGAGGUCAUAGAUGGGUGACCUUUAUUGUCUAGUAGCAUCACCUAUGAAUCAAAACCUAUAGAAGUAACGUUUAAAGACCAUAGUAGUCAUAUUAUUUUUAAUAUUAUUAGAACCCCAUCAAAUCCUAUUAUUCUUGGUCUUUCUUGGUUGGAAAAACAUAAUCCAUUGAUAGAUUGGAGGUUGCGGAAAAUGACUUUUCCCACAAAACCACCCAAGAAAAAACCUAGUAAAAAACCUCGAAAAAAGAAAUCCUUAUUCAUUGGAGCAAGAGCGUUUAUAAGAUCAUCUAAGGAAGGCACUCCAUUUGUCAUUUAUGCGGCUCCAACUACCGAGGAGAAGAACUCAACAGCAAGUAUACCGGAGCAAUAUAAAGAUUUUGAAGACGUGUUUCAAAAGAAGAACGCCGACAUACUACCAGAAUACCGACCAUAUGAUUGUGCCAUAGACUUGCAAGAAGGAGCACAACCACCUUUUGGCCCAAUCUACAAUCUAUCGCAAAUGGAGUUGGCAGAGUUACGAAAGUACAUCGAUGAGAAUCUAGCCAAGAACUUCAUUCGUCAUUCAAAAUCAUCAGCUGGAGCACCCAUCUUAUUUGUGAAGAAGAAAGAUGGAUCAUUACGGAUGUGUGUGGACUAUCGAGGCCUCAACAAGGUAACAAAGAAAAAUCGUUACCCAUUACCCUUGAUUUCUAGUCUCUUAGAACAACUUGGACGUGCGAAGAUCUUUACAAAAAUUGAUCUAAGGGGAGCUUAUAAUCUCGUAUGAAUCAAGGAAGGAGAUGAGUGGAAGACAGCAUUCCAUACAAGGUAUGGUCAUUUCGAAUAUAAUGUCAUGCCUUUUGGUCUUACCAAUGCUCCAGCGGUUUUCCAACAUAUGAUGAAUGACAUCUUUCGAGAACACCUCGACGAUUUUGUUGUCAUCUACUUCGACGAUAUUCUAAUAUUCUCUAAAAACGAGGAAGAGCAUGAGGAGCAUGUUCGUUUGGUCUUGGAGAAACUACGCAAGCGAGGACUAUAUGCCAAAUUAGAAAAGUGUUUAUUUCACCAGACGGAGAUGGAAUUUUUGGGGUUCAUUGCGACUACAGAAGGUUUGAAGAUGGACCCCAAGAAAGUAGAAGCAAUCAUGUCUUGGGAGGUUCCGAAGACGGUUAGAGACGUACAAUGCUUUCUUGGUUUUGCUAACUUCUAUCGGAUCUUCAUCAAGAAUUAUUCUCAAGUUGCUGCUCCUCUCACUUGAUUAACAUGCAAGGAUAAGUUGGAAUGGGGACCUUUGGCGGAGAAGGCAUUUCAAGAUUUGAAGACAGCAUUUACUACAGCUCCAAUUUUGGUAUAUCCAGACUUUACAAAGGCCUUCUAUUUAGAAACUGAUGCUUCAGAUUUUGCUUUGGGAGCUGUGCUUUCACAAAUGAGUAAAGAUAAGAAGCUCCAUCCAGUUGCAUUCUAUUCUCGGAAGUUCUCUGCUGCUGAAAUCAAUUAUGUGAUCCACGAUAAGGAACUUCUUGCUAUAGUGGAUUCUUUCGAAGAAUGGCGUCACUUUCUUGAAGGAGCUGCACAUCCAGUAACCGUAUAUACGGAUCACAAGAAUUUGGAGUAUUUCAUGACGGCUCGAGUUUUAAAUCGGCGUCAAGCUUGGUGGAAUAUGUCGCUAUCUAGAUUCGAUUUUGUUAUCACUUAUUGACUUGGAAGGCAGCAAGGACUAUCCGAUGCUUUAUCAAGGAGAUCGUAUCUUGCACCAAAGGCUGGAGAAGCAACGUUUGAUCAACAAUGUACAACGUUAUUGAAGCUAGAGAGAUUUCAACUUUGUGCUACUAUUGUAUCAUUUGAUGCUGACUUCCUAAACCAGAUACGUGCUAUGACCAUUAAAGAUUCAGUAGCCAUUGAUAUCAAGCAACGUACCAAUGACGACAAGUUCAAGGUGGAGGGAGAUCUUUUAUACUUUGAAGAGCGAUUGUACAUUCCAAAAGGACUAGCACGACUCCGAGUUCUUCAAUCUCGCCAUGAUUUUCCAGCUACGGGACAUUUUGGAUUCAACAAGACCUUGGAGCUUAUUUCCCGAGAUUUUUGGUGGCCCCAAAUGUGGAAGGAUGUGAAAGAUUUUGUCCUCUCUUGUGACAUCUGUUCAAGAUCUAAGAAUCCUCGGCAUCGCCCUUAUGGACUUCUAUAGCCAUUGCCAAUUCCAUGUCGACCAUGGUCUUCAAUUUCUAUGGACUUCAUCACGGACUUGUCAUCGUCAAACUCAUUUGACAGCAUCUUUGUCGUGGUAGAUCGGCUUACGAAGAUGGCACACUUUGUUCCUUGUAAGAAGACAUCGUCCAGUGAAGUCACAGCAAGACUCUUUCUCGAUAAUGUGUAUCGAUAUCAUGGACUACCAGAUGAUAUCAUAUCAGAUCGAGGUACCCAGUUCAUGUCAAAGUUUUGGAGAUCUCUCUUUGGGAUAUUGAAGGUGGAUAUCAAGCUUUCUUCAGCUUUCCAUCCUCAAACUGAUGGCCAAACGGAAUGGGUGAACCAAGUCUUGGAGCAGUACUUACGAUGCAGCAUCAACUAUCAGCAAGACGAUUGGACUGCAUAUCUACCGCUAGCCGAGUUUACAUAUAACAACACCCUCCAUGCGUCGACUCAACAAACACCAUUCUUUUCCAACUAUGGGUAUCAUCCGAAGCUUGAUUUAUUGAGUCCGUCAACAAAUAACAAUCUAGCAGCUGAAGGAUUUGCGAAGCAACUAUCAGAGCUUCAAACUAUAUUGAAGCUUCAAUUACAAUCCGCUCAAGAAUCCUAUAAGACGUCUGCAGAUAGAUUUCAGAAUCUAGCACCUACUUUCAAAGUUGGAGACAAAGCCUGGCUUCUUCGACGAAAUAUCAAGACCAAGCGACCAUGUGAUAAGUUGGACUAUCGAAGAUUGGGACCAUUUAUCAUCCAGAAGCAAAUUAAUCUAGUGGCAUACCGGCUGGAGUUACCAGCUUCUAUGAAGGUACAUCCAGUCUUUCAUGUUUCUCUGUUGGAACCUUAUCGAGAGUCAUCUUUUCCUGGAAGAGUGCAAUGUCCGCCACCUAGUAUUGAAAUCGAGAACCACGAAGAAUACGAGGUUGAAAAGGUAUUAGAUUCACGGCGAAGGUGGGGAAAGUUAGAAUAUCUUGUUCAUUGGUGCGGCUAUGACAUUAAUGAGCGAACGUGGGAGCCAGCUGAAAAUCAUACGAAUGCACCACAAAAGGUACAGGAGUUUCAUCAACGACAUCCCGAUAAAUCUAAAUCAAUUUGAUGAUAGCUUCUUUCUGAAGCUUGUUCUCCCAACAAUAUAAGAAAAGGGGAGAGCACCAACAAAAUUCAUAGUUGAUGUAGUUAUUUUCUCCAAGAUAGAUCGUAGUUUGGUCUUUUGAUAUGGAUAGCCAAGAGAUAGAUACUAUGCCAGUCCGAGUAUCGCAACCGAGUAGCUCACGAAGGCGACCCCGAGAUGAAGAACUACAUGUACCACGACGACGACGGAGGAUACCGAGUAACCGAUCACUAGUGAUCGUAUUUGAGAUCGAGCCUGCUUACGAUCGUCAACCAGAAGGCGUAUUUGUAGGAUAAUUUCACAAUGAGGACACGGAAGUUCAUGCUUGGUCACAAGUCGAAGGCAUGGGCCACUACCAUUGGCUUCAAGGGUCGAUGAACCACUUGCCUCGUGAACAACAGUUGGAGUUCAUAGCAGAAGUUAUGCGACAGAUCUUCAUUUUCUUGCGUUGGUACUGAUCAACAACAUUGCUUCUCAGAGACCUCAAAGCUAAAAGAGGGGGUGAUGUUAGGGACAUAUUCCUUAGAACUUUCUAGAGAGAAGUUUCUAGAACCUUCUAGAAAACAAGCCUCUGGAACCUUCUAGAAGAGAAGCCUUUGGAACCUUUUAGAGAGAAGUUUCUAGAAGCUUAUAGAAAAGAAGUCUCUGGAACCUUCUAGAAGAGAAGUUUCUAGAAGCUUCUAGAAAAGAAUCCCCUGGAACUUUCUAGAAGCUUCCUAGUUAAUAGAAGUAGCUCGAGAAGUUUCUAGAACCUUCUAGAAAGGAAGCCUCUCGAACCUUCUAGAAGCUUCCUAGUUAAUAGAAGUAGUUCGAGAAGCUUCCUAAGUAGGAGUAUAUAUAAGGAUCGAGGCUGAAGAGUUCUUCAGUCUCGACAACACAUCUCUUGGAGUUCUAGCUCAGCUUUCUGGUGUUGUUCUUGUACUCAUCUGUUUAAUCUAGUUCUGCCACUUCUUCUUGAACUUCUUGUUAGAUUUCAAGUCUGUAUUUUGUGUCCGUGACAGAAACAAGACUAAGAUUAGAAAGGCAUUGACAAGAGUGGAGAAGGCUUCACUCUUGCCUCGAUAUAUACUAUGUAACUAAGAGCCACGUGGCGAUGUCCUAUAGGACCUCCAACAUGUGUUGACUUUGCUAGCUACAUGUCUUAUCUUGCAAGACAAGUUAUCUAUGUAUGCGCCACGUAGUUGGCUUGUUCCACAAGCUACUAUACGGAGGUAACUUAUUCCACAAGCUACUACACGGAGGUAACUUGUUUCAUAAGCUACCAAUACAUGGUUAGCUUUUUGGCCAAGUUUUCAACCGAUAAACACAUCUAAAGUCAAAACCACAUCUAUGAAGCUUCUAAGAAGCUUUUCUAGAAGACUUUAUGAAAUUAUUCUAUUUUACCUACUUCUACUUAAUCAUGUAAGUAACUAUUGAGGUAAAUAUAUAUGUCUGUCAUACAUACAAGCAAAAUUGAUGUAUGGGCAAAAGCCGAUAAUACCAAUAGAAGAGGUUGUACCAACAUGAAAUGUAUUAUCUUAAAAAAAUGGUUUAAAAAGUAUAGAAUUAUUAGCAUUACAAAUUUGACAACUUGAAAGAAGACUCGAGGAUAUUGAGGUUGAUAUAAAGAAAUUAAAAGAGGUAAGGAAGAAAAAUAAAGAAAGGUUUGACAAAAAGCAUCGAUUGCAUCAAUCACUAAUUUAAAAUGAUGAUUGGCUGUUGAUUUAAGAUAAUAGUCUAGACAACCAACAUUGCUUAGUAAAAAAAAUUAUAAGGAGAUGGUUUGGGCCUUAUAUUGUCAAACAAUUAUAUGACAAUGGAACAUACUUGUUACGAGAACUUGAUGGUACAAAAUUAAAGAUAUCCAUAACAUGGUAGAGAAUCAAAUUAUUCAAGUAAAGAAAUAAAAAUAUUAGCUUUGAUGAAGAAUAAAAUCCAUUACAAGACAUUGAGAUGGAAAAAAUAGAGCAAAUUGAAGAUCAAGAAUCUGACCAAGAUAAAGAACACUCUAUAUCAAUAUAUUAAAGAAUCAAUGACACAUGCCAGAGGAUGCACAGGUUCAAGAGAGGUGGAUGUUGUGAUAUAAUAUAACUAAUAGGUGAAAAGAAUGAAGAAUCUAUUAUAUCAUAGAAGAUCUUACUUCAAAUAUUUUAGCAAAUUAUCUAAACAAAUAGACAAUAGUCCAAAAUAAAGUAGAAUUAAAAAAUUUAAUUCUAUAUUUUUACAAAGUAGGCUUCUACUUACUUAGUAAGGCCAUAAAUAAGACAAAACAAGGUAGAUUAGAAAAAUAAAGAAUAUGAAUAUAUGAAGGAAGAAAUUAAGAAUUGAUUGGAAUAAAAAUUCACUCUAAAGGACAAAAUUUGAUAUCCAAAGAAGACUAGUUAUUAACCUAGAUCAAAAUCAGACCCUAAAAUACAAAACUAAGUAUCUAGAGUAAUUUAAGGAUUUUUUUGCAAAUUGGAGAGUGGGAUUUGAGAGUAGACUUGAUAAGGUUUUUUUUUAGCAUUGAAUUUGAUAGAAUUAAAUGUAUAAUGACUUUGCUAGAGCUUUUUAAAAUCAUAGUUGUUUUAAAUGACUUUGAAAUUUGUAAAAUAAAAAAGAUAUUAUGUAUUGGAGAAUUUUGUAAGCUCAAUAGUAGAUCUAAUGUUCAAAUUUUGGUGACUUAUAAGAAUAGUUAUUUGAAGAAUAUGCUAUAAGUUUGAACUUGGUUAAACAUUUGAAUUGAAGGCUAUUGAAUUUCAAGUAGAUUGAAGUCUUAAAAUCAGACUUUGAAAGGCAAUUAGGGCUUUUAAGAUCCUUAGCAAUCUACUAAUUGGAUUGGAAUGAAAUUUGUAUUUAAAAAUAAUAGACUUGAUUUUUUACACACAUGUAAAAUUUGAGAACAAUUAAAUGGUUUAAUAUGAAGAUAUUGGUACUGAAAGUUUAAUAUUUAGAUUGAAGUAGGUAGUUAGCCAAUACCUGAGCAGAUUUAGAAUUUUUUCUUCUAUUUGAUAAGUGUGAUUAUCUUCAAAAAAAAUUUGCUUGUUGUUAAUUCAAUUGUUAAAAGGUAUGUAAAUUUUUAAGCUAAAUCAACAAUUCAAUUGAUAGAUAUUGAGGUUCUAAACUAUGCUAGGGUUGAAUUGAGCAGAAUUAGAAUUUGAUUUAAGAUUUGAUUUAUGAUUUAGGAUUUAUCUAAGAUUUAAUUUAAGAUUUAGGAUUUGUGUAGGGUUUGAUUUAAGAUUUGUUUUAGGAUUCAAGGUUUAUUUAGAGUUUGAUUUAGGAUUUAGAAUUUGUUUCGGAUUUGAUUUAGGGUUUGAUUUAGGAUUUAAGAUUUAUCUUAGUUUUGAUUUAGGAUUUGAUUUAGGAUCUAGGGUUUGAUCUAGGAUUUGAUUUAGGAUUUAGGAUUUAAGAUUUAUUUAAGAUUUGAUUUAGGAUUUGAUUUAGGAUUUAGGAUUUUUCUAGUGUAUGAUUGAAGUCUAUUAGAAUUUCA
RNAcentral lists this long non-coding RNA (39910 nucleotides) under Physcomitrium patens. RNAcentral's name for it is "long non-coding RNA (PPAT_LNC008788)". Lineage: Eukaryota; Viridiplantae; Streptophyta; Bryopsida; Funariales; Funariaceae. The record is from RNAcentral.